AUUGAACGCUGGCGGCAGGCUUAACACAUGCAAGUCGAGCGGGGUGAUGGUGCUUGCACUAUCACUUAGCGGCGGACGGGUGAGUAAUGCUUAGGAAUCUGCCUAUUAGUGGGGGACAACAUCUCGAAAGGGAUGCUAAUACCGCAUACGUCCUACGGGAGAAAGCAGGGGAUCACUUGUGACCUUGCGCUAAUAGAUGAGCCUAAGUCGGAUUAGCUAGUUGGUGGGGUAAAGGCCUACCAAGGCGACGAUCUGUAGCGGGUCUGAGAGGAUGAUCCGCCACACUGGGACUGAGACACGGCCCAGACGCCUACGGGAGGUAGCAGUGGGGAAUAUUGGACAAUGGGGGGAACCCUGAUCCAGCCAUGCCGCGUGUGUGAAGAAGGCCUUAUGGUUGUAAAGCACUUUAAGCGAGGAGGAGGCUCUUUUGGUUAAUACCCAAGAUGAGUGGACGUUACUCGCAGAAUAAGCACCGGCUGACUCUGUGCCAGCCGCCGCGGUAA
Molecule: ribosomal RNA, 503 nt
Filed under: uncultured bacterium
Lineage: Bacteria
Description: partial 16S ribosomal RNA
Rfam family: Bacterial small subunit ribosomal RNA
Source: RNAcentral